This 317-nucleotide ribosomal RNA is filed under the name Salmonella enterica subsp. enterica serovar Oranienburg. RNAcentral describes it as "bacterial SSU rRNA". It matches the Rfam family "Bacterial small subunit ribosomal RNA", at positions 1199 to 1515 of the family's 1533-position model. RNAcentral also lists the same sequence under 3 other names. Lineage: Bacteria; Pseudomonadati; Pseudomonadota; Gammaproteobacteria; Enterobacterales; Enterobacteriaceae. The record is from RNAcentral.
CCCUUACGACCAGGGCUACACACGUGCUACAAUGGCGCAUACAAAGAGAAGCGACCUCGCGAGAGCAAGCGGACCUCAUAAAGUGCGUCGUAGUCCGGAUUGGAGUCUGCAACUCGACUCCAUGAAGUCGGAAUCGCUAGUAAUCGUGGAUCAGAAUGCCACGGUGAAUACGUUCCCGGGCCUUGUACACACCGCCCGUCACACCAUGGGAGUGGGUUGCAAAAGAAGUAGGUAGCUUAACCUUCGGGAGGGCGCUUACCACUUUGUGAUUCAUGACUGGGGUGAAGUCGUAACAAGGUAACCGUAGGGGAACCUGC